AACGAGUAACCUCUCCAUCUCCAUCUCGCCCCGACGCUCCUCUGCUUCCAGUCGCUGCCGGCCCUGUCCCAUCGCUACAUUGCUGAUACUUGCAUUGACCAUUUGGAGCUGCUAGCUUGUCUGAAGGCUUCUUCCUCAAGAAGAGUUACUGUACUUGGAGUUUGUGCACCUGGUACUGACUCUUAUCUACGUUUCUUU
This is a long non-coding RNA of Triticum aestivum (bread wheat), 198 nucleotides long. RefSeq lists it as uncharacterized. The record is from RefSeq and is a predicted model, not a curated record. NCBI's taxonomy places the organism in Eukaryota, Viridiplantae, Streptophyta, Magnoliopsida, Poales, Poaceae. The transcript has 3 exons.